GAUGAACGCUGACAGAAUGCUUAACACAUGCAAGUCAACUUGAAUUUGGGUUUUUAACUUAGGUUUGGGUGGCGGACGGGUGAGUAACGCGUAAAGAACUUGCCUCCCAGCUAGGGACAACAUUUGGAAACGAAUGCUAAUACCUAAUAUUAUGAUAAUAGGGCAUCCUAUAAUUAUGAAAGCUAUAAGCGCUGUGAGAGAGCUUUGCGUCUCAUUAGCUAGUUGGAGAGGUAACGGCUCACCAAGGCGAUGAUGGGUAGCCGGCCUGAGAGGGUGAUCGGCCACAAGGGGACUGAGACACGGCCCUUACUCCUACGGGAGGCAGCAGUGGGGAAUAUGGGACAAUGGACCGAGAGUCUGAUCCAGAAAUUCUGUGUGCACGAUGAAGUUUUUCGGAAUGUAAAGUGCUUUCAGUUGGGAAGAAACAAAUGACGGUACCAACAGAAGAAGUGACGGCUAAAUACGUG
RNAcentral lists this ribosomal RNA (467 nucleotides) under uncultured bacterium. RNAcentral describes it as "partial 16S ribosomal RNA". It matches the Rfam family "Bacterial small subunit ribosomal RNA", at positions 28 to 507 of the family's 1533-position model. The record is from RNAcentral.